GCCUGGAUUAACUCAGUCGGUAGAGCAUCAAACUUUCAAUCUGAGGGUCCAGGGUUCAACUCCCUGUUCAGGUA
This is a non-coding RNA of Acomys russatus (golden spiny mouse), 74 nucleotides long. The record is from the annotation of a RefSeq genome assembly. NCBI's taxonomy places the organism in Eukaryota, Metazoa, Chordata, Mammalia, Rodentia, Muridae.